Molecule: long non-coding RNA, 648 nt
Filed under: Equus caballus (horse)
Lineage: Eukaryota; Metazoa; Chordata; Mammalia; Perissodactyla; Equidae
Description: lncRNA (ENSECAG00000058824.1)
Source: RNAcentral
UGGCCCUAGUCAUCUGUGAUUAUGUCAGGUGACCCUCCUCCGGCUACAGGAGAGGAGGACUAGUGUGUGAAGACCUCCUCUGAGAGUCGGUCCAUAGGUUAGGCCAAGCCGAAUAGAUGCUAUCACUUGAGAAUUUUGAACUAAGACACGAAAGUCAUAGAUGGGAGAUGGCAAUGGGAUUUGCAGAGUCAAAGGUGUGAGAGUUGUCCCACGGCAAGCCUCCGCCACGCGUAAUUCGAAUUUCUGAGGGAACCCAAAGGAAAAACCUUGUAUACGGAGCCAGCCUAAGAGAAUGACAUAGAAGACAUGCAGAGGGAAGAAGUGACAAGAGCUCUAGCUGACAUUUACCAUUAGAGGAGACAGUCUUAGAUGAAGACAGAGUACGGCAAUGAAAAGAAAGUAGGUCAUCUGACUUUCAGCUUGUGGGAAGUGGUCUCGGAGAAGAUUAAAGACAACUAAACUAAUGAUGGAAGGGGGCGAUUAAGGAAGAAGCCAGUCAACUUCAUCAAGGUCUGGAGCUCUUGCUGAAAGGACAUCAGAGCAUGCACAGAAUAGUUGUGGAAAAAUCGUAAGAAGCUGGUAACAAGAAGUAGGUCCUUCCAGCUGGCUGACUGGGAGUGGGAAAUAUUCAUUUUCCACUGCUCAAUG